CCUACGGGCGGCAGCAGUGGGGAAUAUUGCGCAAUGUGCGAAAGCCUGACGCAGCGACGCCGCGUGAGGGAUGAAGGUCUUCGGAUCGUAAACCUCUGUCAGCAGGGAAGAACGGUCACUGUGCUAAUCAGCAGUGAAUUGACGGUACCUGCAAAGGAAGCACCGGCUAACUCCGUGCCAGCAGCCGCGGCAAUACGGAGGGUGCGAGCGUUAAUCGGAAUUACUGGGCGUAAAGCGCUCGUAGGCGGUAUGUCAAGUCAAGGGGGAAAUCCCCGCGCUCAACGUGGGAACUGCCUUUGAAACUGGCAAACUGGAGUGUGUGAGAGGAUAGUGGAAUUCCAGGUGUAGGAGUGAAAUCCGUAGAUAUCUGGAGGAACAUCAGUGGCGAAGGCGACUAUCUGGCACAUAACUGACGCUGAGGAGCGAAAGCGUGGGUAGCAAACAGGAUUAGAUACCCUAGUAGUC
RNAcentral lists this ribosomal RNA (465 nucleotides) under uncultured bacterium. RNAcentral describes it as "partial 16S ribosomal RNA". It matches the Rfam family "Bacterial small subunit ribosomal RNA", at positions 338 to 795 of the family's 1533-position model. The record is from RNAcentral.